AUUGAACGCUGGCGGCAGGCCUAACACAUGCAAGUCGAACGGUAACAGGAAGAAGCUUGCUUCUUUGCGGACGAGUGGCGGACGGGUGAGAAAUGUCUGGGAAACUGCCUGAUGGAGGGGGAUAACUACUGGAAACGGUAGCUAAUACCGCAUAACGUCGCAAGCCCAAAGAGGAGGACCUACGGGCCUCCUGCCAGCGGCUGUGCCCCGGUGGGAUUAGCUAGUAGGUGGGGGAACCGCUAACCUAGUCGACGAUCCCUUGCUCGUCUGAGAGGGUGGCCCGCCACACUGGAACUGAGACACGGUCCAGACUCCUACGGGAGGCCGCAGUGGGGAAUAUUGCCCCAUGGGGGCAAGCCUUAUGCAGGCAUGGCGCCUGUAUGAAUAAAGCCUUCGGGUUGUUAAGUCUUUGCAGCUGGGAGGAAGGGAGUAAAGUUAAUACCUUUGCUCAUUGGCGUUACCCGAAGCAGAAGCACCCGCUAACUCCCUG
Molecule: ribosomal RNA, 490 nt
Filed under: uncultured bacterium
Lineage: Bacteria
Description: partial 16S ribosomal RNA
Rfam family: Bacterial small subunit ribosomal RNA
Source: RNAcentral